AUGGGAUGGGAGAUCGGGUCGCUCUUGUAUAUAAUCGGUUUAGGAACCCAAAGGUGCCUCGUCAUCCUAGUCAACUCCAGUCAACCGCAGUUCCCUUUUUCCUUUCAUCCAUCUCUAAUCGCCAAUAAGUUGCCUGGAUCUACAAUGCACGUACUGGUGGCUGCUGACUGGACCAAAGAAAUUGAUAUCCAGACUCCAAUCUCUAUGAGCAUAUCACGGGCCAUUGGGGUCAUUAGUGGCCUCAAUGAAUGUGUCAAUUUGUUUCAGUGGGCUGGAUCUUCUAUUUCGUAUCUGCGCUCCCGGUGGUCUGGAACACAGGAGGAAAGUAUCCAUCAUGAAGUAUUGCAUUUGCAGAGUGGCUUACAACGUCUUAGGGAUACUCUUCCGGCAAUGUACAGUCUUAUUGACCAAGCAGAGUGGAGGAUCCAUGAAGGCCGUGUCGCGGAGCUCCUUCCCAACCUCAAAGAUGCAGUGAAUGAUGCUGAUGAUCUUCUUGGUGAGUUCAGAUGGCAUGAGCUAAAGAUGGAGGUAGAGGGCAAUGCAAGUCAUUCUGCUUUUAUUGACUUCUACAAGACUACCGUACAAGGCAGCUUCAACAAAGUGAAUGAUAUCCAAGAAAGGUUGAAUAGUAUUUCUGGUCAGCUAGAGAAAAUGGGGCUGUAUGGAGUGACACCAGGGUUCGACAAAUCAGUCAGGCCAGACACUACCCCUUUCCCGAAUGAAAAAAAAAUAUUUGGUCGUGACAAGGAUCUGAAGGAGGUGAUGAGAUUUCUCGGUGUACCUAGUAAAGGAAGGGCCUGUUCAAAACGCAAGAGAGCAAGUAGCGCAGUCAAUGCAUCAACAAGCACACCAGCAUCAAACCAAGUUAGUAAUAAAUCAAUAAUACCAGCUAUUCCUGUUUUGCCAAUAGUUGGAAUGGGGGGCGUUGGAAAGACCACUUUGGCUCAACAUAUAUGCAAUCAUCAACAGGUGAAAGAUUACUUUGAGUUAAUAAUCUGGAUUUGUGCAGAUGACUUUGAUGUAAAGAGAUUAAUUAAAGAUGCCAUACAAUCCGCUUCCGGAAAAAAGACAACACUUGAUCAUUUAGCUUCUCUUCAACAUGCUCUUUCUGGCAGUGUGAGCAAUAAAAAGUUCUUGAUUGUUGUUGAUGACGUGUGGGAUGAUGCCUUGAAGGAAAAUGAGCAGCGUUGGAAGGACUUUUAUGAUUCUUUAACAAACGUGGUACAGGGAAGUAUAAUGUUGGUCACAACAAGAUUUCCAGAUGUUGCUGAUAGAGUGCGCACAAUGGAGCCCUUUCCAUUAGCUGGUUUGAAGGAGGAUGUGUUUUGGGAUUUCUUCAAACUUUGUGCAUUUGGGUCUGAGAGAUCCGAGAAUGAUCCUGAGUUACAGAGGAUUGGAAGAAGCAUAGUUCCAAAGUUGAAGGGUUCUCCUUUGGCCGCCAAAACACUUGGACGCCUGUUAGGAAUGAACCUUCAUACAGCACAUUGGAAUAAUAUACUAGAGAGUGAACUCUGGAAGUUGAAACAAGAGAAGACUGAUAUUUUGCCAGCCCUUCGGUUGAGCUACAUAUAUUUGCCAUUUCACUUGAAGAGAUGCUUCUCAUUCUGUGCUGUGUAUGCCAAAGAUCACAAAUUUGAAAAGGGCCGCUUAGCUGAAAUUUGGGUAGCAGAGGGCUUUGUGGAACCUCAAGGCAACACUCCACUUGAAGAUAUUGGCCAUCAGUACUUUGAGGACCUUGUAAAUAGGUCCUUCUUUCAAAAAGUUCGUGGUACAUACAUUAUCCAUGACUUGCUGCAUGACAUGGCAAAACUAGUGUCAGAUCAUGACUGCUUCACCAUAAGAAAUAUGAGGGACUUCCAAAUGGUUCCCCAGAAUGUUCGUCAUUUGUACAUACUCCCAAGCAGAGACUUGAGCACUCCCGACUUGUUGAGCCUAAGCAAGCACACAAAGCUGCGCACGCUAAUUUGUGACAAGUCGUUUGGAAAUCAAGCUGCAGCUAUAAUGGACCGUUGGUGUAGUGAGCUUCAGCGUUUACGUGUGAUUUUUUGGGCCUCUUCAAAUGAGUUGCCAGACAGUAUUGCCAACUUGAAGCAUCUUCGGUACCUUGAAAUCUCCAAGGCUUGUACUUUCAAGAGUUCUUCAGCAUUCCGUUCCCUCUAUAAUCUGCAGAGGUUGUAUGCGGAGGAGUGCAACAUACAAAGUUUUCCCGAAGACAGUAAGUUGAUAAGUUUACGGGGCUUUAAAUCACGAGUAUUUCAAUAUUAUGCAGGGCUUGAACAGAAGAUUGAUGCAACCAAUCAGAUCCAAAUGGAAAUAUUUAAGAAUUUGAACCAAUUCGAUGAACAUAUAAAUAUAUGGAAUCUUGGUUCUUUGAGCAAGGAUCAUGCAGCAGAAUUCAAACUAAAGGAUGAGAAACAUCUUCGCAGACUGAAACUGCAAUGGUGUUGGCAAUAUCUUACUGUGAAGUGUGAAACAAAAGUGCUUCAAGUCCUACAACCUCCCAGUGGUCUUGAAUCUCUGCUCCUCAAAGAUUGUCCAGAUGUGUCUCUCCCAAACUGGUUUCAGCCGCGUAUGAACCUAAAUGAGACGCCUGCUGUGCUUGUUGACAACAAUAAUGACGAGAUUGGUACUUUGUCGUCCUUGGAAGAGCUAAGCAUUCUUGGGUGUCGAAAUCUACAAAGCGUCCGACAACUUCUGCGUCCAGCUUAUGUGCCUGCCAUAAAGAAAUUAAGGAUUGUUGACUGCAACCAGUUAGAAUCAUUACAAACUGAAACGUUUGGGGAGUUUCGUUCCCUUGAGAUAUUAGACCUGCAUGGUUGUCCAAAUAUCUGCUCGAGAAGUUUGGUGACGCACUCCCUCAAGAAGCUCUUAUUGGGAAGUUCACGGAAUCUCACAGACAAUAUGCAGUGCUGCUCCCUCACGGAGUUCUAUUUAUCAUGUGACUAUGUCACGACCAUCCAACCCCAAAUGUGGAAUCUUCCAGCUCUACAAAAGUUGCAUAUUAAAGACUGCAGAUCUCUUACAUCUGUUGAACAAGGACAACCACCCAUUAGGGCAUUCAAAUCCCUUACAUUCCUAAUCAUUGACAAUUGUGAGAACCUGGCAACCCUUGGUGGUCUCCUAACAGAACAAUGUUUGCCUGCCGUUCGAAAGAUUGAUGUUAGGAGUUGUGGCAAGUUACAGUUCCUUUUUGACCUCGUGUCAAUUGGUGGAGCAAAGGCAGUUGCAAAAUUAAAGAUCUACAAUCUACGUACUGGUGACUUAGUGACCAGCGAGGAGAUCGGGCUGUGCAAGCUAUCUUUCAGUUCGGUUACCUGUGGUGAUGGUCCACAGCGGAAAGAGGAGGCGGGGGCGCACGAGGGCAGCGAGGCGGUGGUCUUGGGCGGCAGUUGGCGGAACCACUCGAAUUCGGCCGGGGAGGCUGCAGCCACAACAUCGCUUGGGGAGGCCAUGGCGCUGGGAGCUCCUGUGGUGGUGGACGGCUCGGCAGCGCUCCGGCUGGUGUUGUGGUGGCUGGCCUGUAGGAGCUCGGAGCCGCGGCCAGAGCUAUUGACGACGGGGAUGUGCUGGAACAGAGAAACUGAUCUCCAGACUCCAAUCUCUAUGAGCAUAUCAAGGGCCAUUGGGGUCAUUAGUGGCCUCAAUGAAUGUGUCAAUUUGUUUCAGUGGGCUGGAUCUUCUAUUUCAUAUCUGCGCUCCCGGUGGUCUGCAACACAGGAGGAAAGUAUUCAUCAUGAAGUAUUGCACUUGCAGAGUGGCUUACAACGUCUUAGAGAUACCCUGCCUGCAAUGUACGGCCUUAUUGACCAAGCAGAGUGGAGGAUCCACGAAGGUCUUGUCUCUGAACUCCUUCCCAGCCUCAAAGAUGCAGUGAAUGAUGCUGAUGACCUUCUUGAUGAGUUCAGAUGGCAUGAGCUAAAGAUGGAGGUGGAGGGCAAUGCAGAUCAUUGUGCUUUUCUUGACUUCUACAACACCACCGUACAAGGAAGCUUCAACAAAGUGAAUGUUAUCCAAGAGAGGAUGAAUAGUAUUUCUGGCCAGCUAGGGAAAAUGAAACUGUAUGGAGUGACACCAGGGUUCGACAAAUCAGUCAGGCCAGACACUACCCCUUUCCCGAAUGAAAAAAACAUAUUUGGUCGUGACGAGGAACUGAAGGAGGUGAUGGGAUUUCUCGGUGUACCUCAAACUCAAAGUAAAGGAAUGACCUGUUCAAAACGCAAGAGAGCAAGUAGCGCAGUCAAUGCAUCAACAAGCACAUCAGCACGGAACCAAGUUAAUGAAUCAAGAAUACCAGCUAUUCCUGUUUUGCCAAUAGUUGGAAUGGGGGGCGUUGGAAAGACCACUUUGGCUCAACAUAUAUGCAAUCAUCAACAGGUGAAAGAUUACUUUGAGUUAAUAAUCUGGAUUUGUGCAGAUGACUUUGAUGUGAAGAGAUUAAUUAAAGAUGCCAUACAAUCCGCUUCCGGAAAAAAGACAAAACUUGAUCAUUUAGCUUCUCUUCAACAUGCUCUUUCUGACAGUGUGAGCAAUAAACGGUUCUUGAUUGUUGUUGAUGACGUGUGGGAUGAUGCCUUGAAGGAAAAUGAGCAGCGUUGGAAAGACUUUUAUGAUUCUUUGACAAACGUGGUACAGGGAAGUAUGAUGUUGGUCACAACAAGAUUUCCAGAUGUUGCUGAUAGAGUGCACACAAUGGAGCCCAUUCCAUUAGCUGGUUUGAAGGAGGAUGUGUUUUGGGAUUUCUUCAAACUUUGUGCAUUUGGGUCUGAGAGUUCCGAGAAUGAUCCCGAGUUAGAGAGGAUUGGAAAAAGCAUAGUUCCAAAGUUGAAGGGUUCUCCUUUGGCCGCCAAAACUCUUGGACGCCUAUUAGGAAAGAACCUUCAUACAACACAUUGGAAUAAUAUACUAGAGAAUGAACUCUGGAAUUUGGAACAAGAGAGGACUGAUAUUUUGCCAGCCCUUCGAUUGAGCUACAUAUAUUUGCCAUUUCACUUGAAGAGAUGCUUCUCAUUCUGUGCUGUAUACGCCAAAGAUCACAGAUUUGAAAAGGGCCGUCUAGCUGAAAUUUGGGUAGCAGAAGGCUUUGUGGAACCUCAAGACCUUGUGUCAAUUGGUGGAGCAAAGGCAGUUGCAAAAUUAAAGGAUAUUCUUCCUGCAAUGUACGGCCUUAUUGACCAAGCAGAGUGGAGGAUCCACGAAGGUCGUGUCUCUGAGCUCCUUCCCAACCUCAAAGAUGCAGUGAAUGAUGCUGAUGACCUUCUUGAUGAGUUCAGAUGGCAUGAGCUAAAGAUGAAGGUGGAGGGCAAUGCAAAUCAUUCUGCUUUUGAUGACUUCUACAACACUACCGUACAAGGAAGCUUCAACAAAGUGAAUGAUAUCCAAGCAAGGUUGAAUAGUAUUUCUGGUCAGCUAGAGAAAAUGGGGUUAUAUGGAGUGACACCAGGGUUCGACAAAUCAGUCAGGCCAGACACUACCCCUUUCCCGAAUGAAAAAAAUAUAUUUGGUCGUGACAAGGAACUGGAGGAGGUGAUGGGAUUUCUUGGUGUACCUCAAAAUAAAGGAUGGGCGUGGUUAAAACGGAAGAGAGAAAGUAGUGCAGUCAAUGCAUCAACAAGCACAUCAGCAUGGAACCAAAUUAGUAAUGAAUCAAGAAUACCAGCUAUUCCUGUUUUGCCAAUAGUUGGAAUGGGGGGCGUUGGAAAGACCACUUUGGCUCAAUAUAUAUGCAAUCAUCAACAGGUGAAAGAUUACUUUGAGUUAAUAAUCUGGAUUUGUGCAGAUGACUUUGAUGUAAAGAGAUUAAUUAAAGAUGCCAUACAAUCCGCUUCCGGAAAAUGGACAAUUCUUGAUCAUUUAGCUUCUCUUCAACAUGCUCUUUCUCACAGUGUGAGCAAUAAAAGGUUCUUGAUUGUUGUUGAUGAUGUGUGGGAUGAUGCCUUGAAGGAAAAUGAGCAGCGUUGGAAAGAUUUCUAUGAUUCUUUAACAAAUGUGGUACAGGGAAGUAUGAUGUUGGUCACAACAAGAUUUCCAGAUGUUGCUGAUAGAGUGCGCACAAUGGAGCCUUUCCCAUUAGAUGGUUUGAAGGAGGAUGUGUUUUGGGAUUUCUUUAAACUUUGUGCGUUUGGGUCUGUGAAUUCCCGGAAUGAUCCUGAGUUAGAGAGGAUUGGAAAAGGCAUAGUUCCAAAGUUGAAGGGUUCUCCUUUGGCCGCCAAAACUCUUGGACGUCUAUUAGGAAUGAACCUUCAUACAACACACUGGAAUAAUAUACUAGAGAGUGAACUCUGGAAGUUGAAACAAGAGAAGACUGAUAUUUUGCUAGCCCUUCGGUUGAGCUACAUAUAUUUGCCAUUCCACUUGAAGAGAUGA
RNAcentral lists this ribosomal RNA (6363 nucleotides) under Triticum aestivum (bread wheat). RNAcentral's name for it is "partial small subunit ribosomal RNA". Lineage: Eukaryota; Viridiplantae; Streptophyta; Magnoliopsida; Poales; Poaceae. The record is from RNAcentral.